GGGUGUACAGCUCAGUGGUAGAGCAUGUGCUUAGCAUGCAGGAGGUCCUGAGUGCAACCCCCGGUACUUCCA
Molecule: transfer RNA, 72 nt
Filed under: Camelus bactrianus (Bactrian camel)
Lineage: Eukaryota; Metazoa; Chordata; Mammalia; Artiodactyla; Camelidae
Also listed under: 2 other names
Rfam family: tRNA
About the family: Transfer RNA (tRNA) molecules are approximately 80 nucleotides in length.
Source: Rfam by way of RNAcentral